AUUGAACGCUGGCGGCAUGCUUUACACAUGCAAGUCGAACGGAUUUUGGAGCUUGCUCCAGAGUUAGUGGCGAACGGGUGAGUAAUAUAUCGGAACGUACCCGGCAAUGGGGGAUAACGUAGCGAAAGUUACGCUAAUACCGCAUAUGCCCUGAGGGGGAAAGCAGGGGACCAGUAAUGGCCUUGCGUUGUCGGAGCGGCCGAUAUCGGAUUAGCUAGUUGAUGAGGUAAAGGCUCACCAAGGCGACGAUCCGUAGCGGGUCUGAGAGGAUGAUCCGCCACACUGGGACUGAGACGCGGCCCAGACUCCUACGGGAGGCAGCAGUGGGGAAUUUUGGACAAUGGGCGAAAGCCUGAUCCAGCCAUGCCGCGUGAGUGAAGAAGGCCUUCGGGUUGUAAAGCUCUUUCAGGUGGAAAGAAAAGGUUACGGAUAAUACCUGUAACUGAUGACGGUACCAUCAGAAGAAGCACCGGCUAACUACGUGCCAGCCGCCGCUGUAA
This 500-nucleotide ribosomal RNA is filed under the name uncultured bacterium. RNAcentral's name for it is "partial 16S ribosomal RNA". It matches the Rfam family "Bacterial small subunit ribosomal RNA", at positions 30 to 523 of the family's 1533-position model. The record is from RNAcentral.